RNAcentral lists this ribosomal RNA (376 nucleotides) under uncultured bacterium. Its description in RNAcentral is "bacterial SSU rRNA". It matches the Rfam family "Bacterial small subunit ribosomal RNA", at positions 30 to 416 of the family's 1533-position model. The record is from RNAcentral.
AUUGAACGCUGGCGGCAUGCCUAACACAUGCAAGUCGAACGGGGUAGCAAUACCCAGUGGCGGACGGGUGAGGAAUACAUAGGAAUUUGCCUUUAGGUGGGGGAUAGCCCGGGGAAACUCGGAGUAAUACCGCAUGAUGUCGAAAGACCAAAGUAGGGGAUCGCAAGACCUUGCGCCUUUAGAGAAGCCUAUGUCUGAUUAGCUAGUUGGUAGGGUAAUGGCCUACCAAGGCGACGAUCAGUAACUGGUCUGAGAGGACGAUCAGUCACACCGGAACUGAGACACGGUCCGGACUCCUACGGGAGGCAGCAGGUGGGGAAUAUUGGACAAGUGGGCGAAAGCCUGAUCCAGCAAUGCCGCGUGUGUGAAGAAGGCC